Molecule: RNA transcript, 3469 nt
Organism: Triplophysa dalaica
Lineage: Eukaryota; Metazoa; Chordata; Actinopteri; Cypriniformes; Nemacheilidae
Gene: stx6
Gene name: syntaxin 6
Exons: 9
Source: RefSeq, a predicted model, not a curated record
UGUCUGGGCAAAUGUGAAUGGAGCUGUUAGUGGGGGGGAAGGGCAAUAUUUUGUUUGAAGAAACAGUUAGCUUCUACGAUUACAAAGACCGUUGCAGAUUUAACGUUCGGCUGAAGAGGAUAAUUUUACAUAGAGAUGAUUUCACGAUUUUAUUUUUAUCAGUAAUCCUUGUGCAUUGGUUCGUGCGCGUGCCUGCAUUAAGAUGUGGGUCGUAAACAAACCUGACAGGAAGAGCGGUGUAUGACCAAGCAUGUGCGCCUGUCUGGACGCUCUAUGACCCGGAUGUGAUUCCACCGAGCAAUGGCGGCUGAGCGGAUGCGGGUUGCGUCCCACAUGUAAACAACAAACUAAGGGCAGUCCUUUGUCUGAGGAAAGCAAAACCAGCGGCGAUCAGGAGCAUGAGAUUAUCCCACGAGAGUCGCCUCAUCUGAGAAAUAGAAAAAAAUGUCGAUGGAAGAUCCGUUUUUUGUGGUGAAAGGGGAGGUGCAAAAGGCGGUGAACAACGCUCAAGGGCUUCAUCAAAGAUGGAUGGAGUUAUUACAGGACGCGGGUGGGGCCAGCAAGGAGGAAGUGGACUGGACCACCAAUGAGCUACGCAACAGCCUGAGGUCCAUUGAAUGGGACCUGGAGGACCUGGAUGAGACUAUUAAUAUCCUUUCAGUUCUGAUGUGUGAAAACCAAUAUUUAGAUUUUGUAUAUGUUGUAUUUGAUAUUCGUAUAGCCUUAACUUGGGAUGCAAGUAUUGUGGAGUCCAAUCCAAAGAAAUUCAAUCUGGAUGCGAUGGAGCUGGCGAAGAGAAAAGCUUUCAUCACAAGCACAAGACAAACAGUCAAGAAUCUGAAAGACCACAUGACAAGUCCAACAGGCAUUUCAGUAUCAGAGAGAAAGAAUCGACAGACUUUGAUGGGGGACAGCGGGUCUCGUGGUCCAAUCUGGCAACCCAGCGGUGAUAAGUACACCAGACUUGACAAUGAGUUGCAGUCUGCAAACUCCCAGUUCAUAGAAGACCAACAGACCCAGCAGCAGCUCAUAGCAGAACGACAGGAUGAACAGUUAGAGCUGGUUUCAGGGACCAUCGGCAUCUUAAAGAACAUGUCUGAAAGGGUCGGGCAAGAAUUGGAUGAGCAGGCUGUAAUGCUGGAUGACUUUUCACACGACAUGGACAACACACAGUCCAGGCUGGAUAGCGUCAUGAAGAAACUGGCAAAAGUUUCUCACAUGACCAGUGGUGAUUGACUGUGGUAAAAGAAUACAUAGUGCUGCUGUCCCUUAUAAGGCCAAGCAUGGUGAUAACAGGAAGUCAAACUUCCGCUAUGGUUGAGCAACCGAGAAAUCUAACCUUCUACUGCACCUCAUGGGAAUUUUUCAAAAAAAUCGAAGACAGUGGUGUGCUAUCGGAAUUCUCCUGGCUAUCCUGUUUGUUGUGAUAAUCCUCUUCCUUGUUCUGUGAACAAGCACUCUGAGCUUUAGGCGUACAGGUCUCUGCGUAUAUUCACAAAACCAAGGUGCUUGGAAGAGUGAAAGCAAACGAAAACAUUUCCCUCUCCUAUUCCAUACUAUAGUAAGAUGCUGUUUUAUACUUUCUUCUUAUAUAAAUAGACCCCAGACGAUAAGACUGACACAAGUGUGUAAAAUGUAGAUAUGCUUGUGAACAAACAAGCAGAUGAAUGGCAGAGAAUAUCGAAUUUGUAAUAACGUGGUAAUUCAGGGUAAAUCAUGCAUAUCAAAUGGACCAUGAUUUUUGGACUUAUACCUGUGUACUUUGGUCAUAACAGAAUCUAGGGCUGCUAGAAAGUAUGAUCGAUGUAAUUUUCUUUACUUUGCACUGCUGUAACGGUAGGUUUAGACCACUGUAAAUAAUCAACACUAAAUAUGAAGCUCUAACAAGUUAACACUGGAGUUUAACAAACUAGAUACUCUAUAAGCGGGUAUGGAAUUAAUGAUACUAAUAGUAAAUUAGCUAUUCACUUUUAAAAAAAGUUUUUUCGCCUGUGUGCUUUGUUUACUUUUUCCUUUUUUUUUAAAGUACGUGUGAAUUUAUUAGUGAGAUGUUCACUAUCGACGUUUUGACACUAUGAUAAUAAUUAGAUGACAUUAUGUUUCUGGAAAUAUUGAUGGUAUAAAUCGCUCAGAAUUGUAUUGGCUAGACAACUAAAAUAUCCCCAUUUUUACAAAACAUAAAUUUUAUGUUUUACAAUUUGGUCUUGAAAUUGUUGGGGUUACGCAAGAAUCACACCACUCUGUGGAUUGCGAGACAAUGUUUUCUUGUUUGUAUGAUUUACCUGUACAAAGUCCAAGAAACGAUGAGUUCAUUUUUUACGGUCAAGUCAAAUUUUUCCAUCGUUAUAGGUAAAGUAGAUGGGUCCUGUGAAGUAUAGGUCAGAAUUUAGCCAGUGCCUUAGCAGUGAGAAGGGUUGAUGCAUUUCAUUUAAGACAGCAGAUGUUCGUGACAAUGGCACUUGGUGAAAUUUCUCUUGUUUAGAGUUAGGGACAUUGUCUAGCUUCGGUCCAUUAAUACUUUCACUAACUGUCGAAAUGUAUUUCUAAUGCUAACGCAAAUGAAAUCUGGAAAGCAGCACUCGUUGAUUUGCAAAUAACUAUUAUUUUAUGAAAGAUCGACACUACACAUAUUAUGUUUAAACAUGAAGCACAGUUACCGUAUUGUAUUGUUUGAUGUAUUAUGUUUGGAAGACUUACGAAGAUCCACCAUAUUUCAAAAUCACACCUAAAAAUGAAAAAUAUAUGCAUUUAGCAUGAAAAAAGAUGAAGGCGCAUUAAGACUUCUGUAUUGUUUUACCAUUUUCAAGGCAAUUCAAUGCAUUUACGGUAAUGCAGUUAUGAAAGCAACCCUGUCUGGAAACAAUACUUUUCAACAAUAUUAGCAUCACUUCAAUUUAAAUAAUGUACAUUUUACAUUAGCAUUUUACGUUUAUUUGAAAAAUGGAAAUUAAAAUGAACUUAAUUGUCAUGAAAAUACACAAUGCAGAAAGUCACAAGAAUUCUUUAUUAAAAUUUUCAUUUCUUCUGGUUUGGGUGAAAUAUGACAUGUGCAUGGCUUGAUGGACUCAACCUCCCUGAAAAACAUAGGGACUUUACAGUAUUUUAACCAUCAAUCAUUUCUGUCGUCCAAUAAAACAGUAUUAUGGCUAAAACUAACUGCCCUUUGUCUUUUCCGAUUGGUUCGAAAUAUUACUGAAUUGAUUGCUCAGUAAAAAGGCAAUUUUACGAUUCAAAUAAUAAAACAUACCUCAAUAAGUUCACUGUUCUAGAUGAGCAACGGCUUGGUCAAGACAGCAGAUAAUUCCUUGUCAUGCGUGAAUUUCAAUUGUACGUGUUUGCUGUGUUUGUUUGAGCUACCUGUUGUUUUUCCUUGUCCUUCAGAAAAAAAAUCUGUAAAACCACCCCAUGUUUUCCCCACAUGUCAAUCACUGUGUGAUAUUCUGAGCCCCAUUAAAAACAAAUAACUGAA